AUUGACGAGCCGGAAAGCCCUCUGUGAUCCCCACAGGCCUUUCGCUCUCCACGCUUGCUGCCGCGCCGCUAUGGCCGCCGCCGUGUCGCCCGUUGGAGCCGUGAACUCCGUGAGGGUAGGUCCCUCCCCCCCAGGCGUCUCCGGCCACCGACGAGUCUCCUCUCAAUGCUUCUCGUUGUUCAGUUUUAUUUCUCUUUCUCUCGAGGCGGAGGAGUCAAGUGGGUUGUUUGACUUUGCAGCCGAGCCUCCGCAGCUCUGGAUCGGGGCCGUCGGCGCCGGCCUCCUCCUUCUUCGGUGCUAGCCUGAAGAAGGGGAGCUCUCCGGCGAACCAUGGGAGGAUCUCGACGGGGAGCUUCAGGGUGAUGGCAGCUGACCUCGACGAGAGCAAGCAGACCUCUGGGGACAGAUGGGGCGGGCUCUACUACGACAUGUCGGACGACCAGCAGGAUAUCACCAGGGGGAAGGGGCUGGUCGACUCCCUCUUCCAGGCCCCCACCGGCCAGGGCACCCACGAUGCUGUCCUCAGCUCCUACGAGUACAUCAGCCAGGG
RNAcentral lists this long non-coding RNA (550 nucleotides) under Spirodela polyrhiza (greater duckweed). RNAcentral's name for it is "long non-coding RNA (SPOL_LNC001535)". Lineage: Eukaryota; Viridiplantae; Streptophyta; Magnoliopsida; Alismatales; Araceae. The record is from RNAcentral.